CGAACGCUGGCGGCGUGCUUAACACAUGCAAGUCGAACGGAAAGGCCCUGCUUUUGUGGGGUGCUCGAGUGGCGAACGGGUGAGUAACACGUGAGUAACCUGCCCUUGACUUUGGGAUAACUUCAGGAAACUGGGGCUAAUACCGGAUAGGAGCUCCUGCUGCAUGGUGGGGGUUGGAAAGUUUCGGCGUUUGGGGAUGGACUCGCGGCUUAUCAGCUUGUUGGUGGGGUAGUGGCUUACCAAGGCUUUGACGGGUAGCCGGCCUGAGAGGGUGACCGGCCACAUUGGGACUGAGAUACGGCCCAGACUCCUACGGGAGGCAGCAGUGGGGAAUAUUGCACAAUGGGCGGAAGCCUGAUGCAGCAACGCCGCGUGCGGGAUGACGGCCUUCGGGUUGUAAACCGCUUUCGCCUGUGACGAAGCGUGAGUGACGGUAAUGGGUAAAGAAGCACCGGCUAACUACGUG
This 466-nucleotide ribosomal RNA is filed under the name uncultured bacterium. RNAcentral describes it as "partial 16S ribosomal RNA". It matches the Rfam family "Bacterial small subunit ribosomal RNA", at positions 30 to 507 of the family's 1533-position model. The record is from RNAcentral.